UCAGCGAGAGCUAAGCACAGUGCGAGACUCAGCCUCCAGAUCUAACUGGCUUUUUUUUUUUGGGGGGGGGGGUUGUGGGAAUCUUGUUUUUGGAUGGCCGGGGAAACUCCCCACCCCCUUCCGCAGCCCCUGCAACUUGCGGUGGCUUCUGUGCAGCUCGUGGGGUGCCUCUCAGCCUCAAAGUUUGCCUCCCUUCCCGGAAAAACAACCGGGUGUCAGCAUCCCUCCCCAUCUUCCCAGGUCCUGACUGUUGCGCAGUGAGUGGAUAGCGGGUCGCCGGGAGGGAGUCGCUGUGGGUGGAGAUUGGAGCGCUUAGGUGGAGGACGAGGGGGAGGAGGAGGAGGAGCAGGGCGAGGACCAGGAGGAGCCGGAGGAGGAGGAGGAGGCGGUGGCGGAGGAGGAGGAGAAGAAGAAGAAGCAGCAACUCUCGAGUGUCCACGGUGACCCUUGGCGUGUAAACUGGAGCGGCAGGGGCUCGCGCGCAGGAGUCCAGUACGAUGUGACCCAGGGGGCUGGGGACUGCUUUGAAGGACCCUCUUUGGAGGGGGUUGCCGUGUGUGUCUCUGUGUGUGACCGAGUGUCAGAGAGAGUCCGUUUAGGGCUCAGCGCCCUCUCUUCCUCUGGGCACCACUGGGCAGCGAAAAGCUUGGCACCGAGGAGACAGCCUGCGGGACCCGGGGCUCCUGCCCUUCCUGGCCUCUCGGACUGGGAGCUACGGGGAGUCCAACCUCGCCGAGAGGUGGCAGAGGCAGCUGAGGAGUCUGCAGGAGCUCCGGUAGAGGCAGCAAGGACAGAGGCAGCACCGGGCAGAGGUGGACAGUGGCAUCCACAGCUGCUGCUGGGGGAUGAAAAGAAGCCUCUUAAAAAAGAUGUCCAGAGGAGGUGUGGAGUGAGUGAAUUCCAGAUGUGGAAGAAAACCAGAAUGAAGACAAAGAGAUAAGAGAUGAAUUGUCAUGUUUCUUAUAGCAAGACACUCUGUGGAGCUGGUAAGUGAAGAAUCAACAUCAUGUGGACAGGUUGGAAGAAUUUAUGUUGUAAAGAGCCUUAGAUAUUCAAAAGAGAUGGAAGGAGCAUCACUGGAUUUUAUUGAAUAAUAUGGUAUCAUCGUCAGACCUAUACAUUAGAAAAUGUGAACCAUAUAGGAUAAAGGGGAGAAAAGGUCAUAAGACCAAACAGAUGGCUCUUUCAAUAAUCCUGAGGGGGAGCUGAACUAUUGUUCAUGAAUGGAAAGAAAUACAAAUUGAAAGACUUAUUGUGAUAGAAUGACAAGAUGAAGCAACUCACUGGAUUUGUGGAGAGAGACAGAAGUAAAGAACUAUGGUGAUGCCCCAGUGCUAAUAGGAAAGCUGGAAGAGGUCUCACAAAAUUAAUCCAAACCAAUUUUUUCAUUUUACAUAUGUGGAAACUGAGGUCCUAAUAUGUUAAAUGAUUCAUCCAAGACUGU
RNAcentral lists this long non-coding RNA (1444 nucleotides) under Monodelphis domestica (gray short-tailed opossum). RNAcentral describes it as "lncRNA (ENSMODG00000036196.2)". The record is from RNAcentral. Lineage: Eukaryota; Metazoa; Chordata; Mammalia; Didelphimorphia; Didelphidae.